GACGAACGCUGGCGGCGUGCUUAACACAUGCAAGUCGAGCGGAAAGGCCCUUCGGGGUACUCGAGCGGCGAACGGGUGAGUAACACGUGAGUAACCUGCCCCAGACUUUGGGAUAACCCUCGGAAACGGGGGCUAAUACCGGAUACGACACAGCUUCGCAUGGGGUCUGUGUGGAAAGUUUUUCGGUUUGGGAUGGGCUCGCGGCCUAGCAGCUUGUUGGUGGGGUGAUGGCCUACCAAGGCGACGACGGGUAGCCGGCCUGAGAGGGCGACCGGCCACACUGGGACUGAGACACGGCCCAGACUCCUACGGGAGGCAGCAGGGGGGAAUAUUGCACAAUGGGCGGAAGCCUGAUGCAGCGACGCCGCGUGAGGGAUGACGGCCUUCGGGUUGUAAACCUCUUUCAGCAGGGACGAAGCGUAAGUGACGGUACCUGCAGAAGAAGCGCCGGCCAACUACGUG
RNAcentral lists this ribosomal RNA (462 nucleotides) under uncultured bacterium. RNAcentral's name for it is "partial 16S ribosomal RNA". It matches the Rfam family "Bacterial small subunit ribosomal RNA", at positions 28 to 507 of the family's 1533-position model. The record is from RNAcentral.